AGUUUUAGAGUAUAAAGAGUAAUCUGAGAGUUUAGGAGAGAUUAGAGAAGUAUUAGAGAUGAUUUAGGGUAGAAUCUGAGAUCAAGAGACUAAGAGAAAAGCCAUGGAGGCUAAGAAUAAUCUGAACUGUCUUAUUCUUUAUUAUGGAUGAGGUUACAACAUUUAUAGGAGAGUCAUUAGGGCUUUUGCGCAAAGGGAAAUGGCACUAGUCUAAGCAUGUGAAGUCAAGGCUGAAUGGAGUGUCUCCUUUUGAAAUGAACGGACAGGAGGGCACACACGCUUCUGGCUUUACAGCCUGUCCAAGAGCUGGAUGGAUAAGGCGCGUCCCAACCUUAUCCAUAAACGGUCUGAUCCGUUCCAAACCUUCCGUGUCUAAUGAAGGCACUGCUCGUCCAUCUUCCUUCUCUUUCACGUUCCCUCAGAUGUACGGUCAUGCCCUAUCCGUACACACCAUGCCCUAACUUUGCACAACCUUUAAACUGACUUUAAAGGUCAUUCAAGCUCUCAUGGUCGAGGUGAUCCGUACCGUCCGU
This 533-nucleotide long non-coding RNA is filed under the name Brassica napus (rape). RNAcentral's name for it is "long non-coding RNA (BNAP_LNC003240)". Lineage: Eukaryota; Viridiplantae; Streptophyta; Magnoliopsida; Brassicales; Brassicaceae. The record is from RNAcentral.